UACGGAGGAUCCAAGCGUUAUCCGGAUUUAUUGGGUUUAAAGGGUGCGUAGGCGGCCUGUUAAGUCAGGGGUGAAAGACGGUAGCUCAACUAUCGCAGUGCCCUUGAUACUGAUGGGCUUGAAUGUACUAGAGGUAGGCGGAAUGUGACAAGUAGCGGUGAAAUGCAUAGAUAUGUCACAGAACACCAAUUGCGAAGGCAGCUUACUAUGGCAUGAUUGACGCUGAGGCACGAAAGCGUGGGGAUCAAACAGG
This 253-nucleotide ribosomal RNA is filed under the name uncultured bacterium. RNAcentral's name for it is "partial 16S ribosomal RNA". It matches the Rfam family "Bacterial small subunit ribosomal RNA", at positions 524 to 776 of the family's 1533-position model. The record is from RNAcentral.